UCGAACGAUGAUGCCCAGCUGCUGGGUGGAUUAGUGGCGAACGGUGAGUAACACGUGAGUAACCUGCCCCUGACUCUGGGAUAAGCGUUGGAAACGACGUCUAAUACUGGAUAUGACUGCUGGCCGCAUGGUCUGGUGGUGGAAAGAUUUUUUGGUUGGGGAUGGACUCGCGGCCUAUCAGCUUGUUGGUGAGGUAAUGGCUCACCAAGGCGACGACGGGUAGCCGGCCUGAGAGGGUGACCGGCCACACUGGGACUGAGACACGGCCCAGACUCCUACGGGAGGCAGCAGUGGGGAAUAUUGCACAAUGGGCGAAAGCCUGAUGCAGCAACGCCGCGUGAGGGAUGACGGCCUUCGGGUUGUAAACCUCUUUUAGUAGGGAAGAAGCGUAAGUGACGGUACCUGCAGAAAAAGCACCGGCUAACUACGUGCCAGCAGCCGCGGUAAUACGUAGGGUGCAAGCGUUGUCCGGAAUUAUUGGGCGUAAAGAGCUCGUAGGCGGUUUGUCGCGUCUGCUGUGAAAUCCCGAGGCUCAACCUCGGGCUUGCAGUGGGUACGGGCAGACUAGAGUGCGGUAGGGGAGAUUGGAAUUCCUGGUGUAGCGGUGGAAUGCGCAGAUAUCAGGAGGAACACCGAUGGCGAAGGCAGAUCUCUGGGCCGUAACUGACGCUGAGGAGCGAAAGCGUGGGGAGCGAACAGGAUUAGAUACCCUGGUAGUCCACGCCGUAAACGUUGGGCGCUAGAUGUAGGGACCG
This 755-nucleotide ribosomal RNA is filed under the name Curtobacterium sp. Pd-E-(l)-e-D-3(5). RNAcentral's name for it is "bacterial SSU rRNA". It matches the Rfam family "Bacterial small subunit ribosomal RNA", at positions 62 to 831 of the family's 1533-position model. The record is from RNAcentral. Lineage: Bacteria; Bacillati; Actinomycetota; Actinomycetes; Micrococcales; Microbacteriaceae.